GAUGAACGCUGGCGGUAUGCUUAACACAUGCAAGUCGAACGGACUCUUCGGAGUUAGUGGCGGACGGGUGAGUAACGCGUGAGAAUCUGGCUUUGGGUUCGGGACAACCACUGGAAACGGUGGCUAAUACCGGAUGUGCCGAGAGGUAAAAGAGAAAUUGCCUGAAGAUGAGCUCGCGUCUGAUUAGCUAGUUGGUGAGGUAAAGGCUCACCAAGGCAGCGAUCAGUAGCUGGUCUGAGAGGAUGACCAGCCACACUGGGACUGAGACACGGCCCAGACUCCUACGGGAGGCAGCAGUGGGGAAUUUUCCGCAAUGGGCGAAAGCCUGACGGAGCAAUACCGCGUGAGGGAAGAAGGCUCUUGGGUUGUAAACCUCUUUCCUUAGGGAAGAACAAAAUGACGGUACCUAAGGAAUCAGCAUCGGCUAACUCCGUG
RNAcentral lists this ribosomal RNA (435 nucleotides) under uncultured bacterium. Its description in RNAcentral is "partial 16S ribosomal RNA". It matches the Rfam family "Bacterial small subunit ribosomal RNA", at positions 28 to 507 of the family's 1533-position model. The record is from RNAcentral.